ACGGAGGGUGCAAGCGUUAUUCGGAAUUACUGGGCGUAGAGGGCGCGCAGGCGGCUCUUUAAGUCGGGCGUGAAAGCCCGGGGCUAAACCCCGGAAGUGCGUUCGAAACUAAAAGGCUUGAGUACGGGAGAGGGAAGUGGAAUUCCUGGUGUAGAGGUGAAAUUCGUAGAUAUCAGGAGGAACACCGGUGGCGAAGGCGACUUCCUGGACCGAUACUGACGCUGAGGCGCGAAAGCGUGGGGAGCAAACAGG
RNAcentral lists this ribosomal RNA (252 nucleotides) under uncultured bacterium. RNAcentral describes it as "partial 16S ribosomal RNA". It matches the Rfam family "Bacterial small subunit ribosomal RNA", at positions 525 to 776 of the family's 1533-position model. The record is from RNAcentral.